UACGUAGGGUGCAAGCGUUGUCCGGAAUUAUUGGGCGUAAAGAGCUCGUAGGCGGUCUGUCGCGUCUGCUGUGAAAACUCGGGGCUUAACCCCGGGCCUGCAGUGGGUACGGGCAGACUAGAGUCCGGAAGAGGAGAGUGGAAUUCCCGGUGUAGCGGUGAAAUGCGCAGAUAUCGGGAAGAACACCUAUGGCGAAGGCAGCUCUCUGGGACGGUACUGACGCUGAGACGCGAAAGCGUGGGGAGCGAACAGG
This 253-nucleotide ribosomal RNA is filed under the name uncultured bacterium. RNAcentral describes it as "partial 16S ribosomal RNA". It matches the Rfam family "Bacterial small subunit ribosomal RNA", at positions 524 to 776 of the family's 1533-position model. The record is from RNAcentral.